CGGGUGAGUAACGCGUGAGGGACCUGCCUCAAAGAGGGGGACAACAGUUGGAAACGACUGCUAAUACCGCAUAAGCCCACGGCUCGGCAUCGAGCAGAGGGAAAAGGAGCAAUCCGCUUUGAGAUGGCCUCGCGUCCGAUUAGCUAGUUGGUGAGGUAAUGGCCCACCAAGGCGACGAUCGGUAGCCGGACUGAGAGGUUGAACGGCCACAUUGGGACUGAGACACGGCCCAG
Molecule: ribosomal RNA, 233 nt
Filed under: uncultured bacterium
Lineage: Bacteria
Description: partial 16S ribosomal RNA
Rfam family: Bacterial small subunit ribosomal RNA
Source: RNAcentral